AAUAACAACAAUAACAAUAACAAUUUAUUGGAAGCAUUCCCAUAUACAUAAAUGGUAUUGCCUACGACUACAUAACAAAAUAACAAAAUAACAAUAAAACUAUGCUAAAUUGGCCCUACGGCUACGUAUAAAUAACGGUUUUAACUAGUAAAGCCCAAAGGGGUUAUUUACAGUAAUAAAUUGUCUUUUCUUAUUGCAAAAGCUUCGGAGAUGAACCAUGCAAUUUUUUUGCAUACAAAAGGAUCAACAUUGUUAAAUAGGAAUAAAACUUUUUCCGUAGUAUUCAUUUUUCUGAAGUUUUGAUAUUGAUUGUUCAUAUCACUGUAUAGAGUAGUUUUAAUUUGGUUAUACAAUAUACAAUGGAAUAAAAAAUGUGUUUCAUUUUCUAUGUAUUGUGACCCACAGUGGUCACAUGUUCUUAGAUUUUCUGGCAUUUUGGGACAGCUAUGUCUUCCUGUCUCAAUUUUUAAAUUAUGGUUUCCCAUUCGAAGCUUCGCUGUGGCUUUACGGUGAUUUCCAUUUUUUAUCAGCUCCAAAAAUGAGGAACAUUUGGUAUCGUAUUUGAAAGUUGAAUAAAAAACAAGUUUUCUAAUUGACUUCAGAAGAUGAAUUUGAUGUAAUUGGGAUUGAUGUUCUAUAUUUGGUUUAAUUUCGAAUAACCAUUUAUUGUAAUUAUCUUUGUUACUAGUAUCUAUAUUUUGUUGAUUCUGUGUUUGAAAUAAGCGUGUGAUUUCGUUUACGGAUGAAAUGAAACAAGGUUUAGUACUAGAUAACGCUAUUUGUUUAGAAAUCUGAAGACAUUGGAAAGCAAUACUA
Paramuricea clavata is the source of this 816-nucleotide non-coding RNA. NCBI's taxonomy places the organism in Eukaryota, Metazoa, Cnidaria, Anthozoa, Malacalcyonacea, Plexauridae. The record is from the annotation of a GenBank genome assembly.